This 274-nucleotide ribosomal RNA is filed under the name uncultured bacterium. RNAcentral's name for it is "partial 16S ribosomal RNA". It matches the Rfam family "Bacterial small subunit ribosomal RNA", at positions 523 to 796 of the family's 1533-position model. The record is from RNAcentral.
AUACAGAGGGUGCGAGCGUUAAUCGGAAUUACUGGGCGUAAAGCGCGCGUAGGCGGCUUAUUAAGUCAGAUGUGAAAUCCCCGGGCUCAACCUGGGAACUGCAUCUGAUACUGGUAAGCUAGAGUUUUGGAGAGGGAAGUAGAAUUUCAGGUGUAGCGGUGAAAUGCAUAGAGAUCUGAAGGAAUAUCAGUGGCGAAGGCGACUUCCUGGCCAAAAACUGACGCUGAGGUGCGAAAGCGUGGGUAGCAAACGGGAUUAGAAACCCUAGUAGUCC